RNAcentral lists this ribosomal RNA (492 nucleotides) under uncultured bacterium. RNAcentral describes it as "partial 16S ribosomal RNA". It matches the Rfam family "Bacterial small subunit ribosomal RNA", at positions 29 to 507 of the family's 1533-position model. The record is from RNAcentral.
AGUGAACGCUGGCGGUAGGCCUAACACGUGCAAGUCGAACGGCAGCACAGUAAGAACUUGCUCUUACGGGUGGCGAGUGGCGGACGGGUGAGGAAUACAUCGGAAUCUACUUUUUCGUGGGGGAUAACGUAGGGAAACUUACGCUAAUACCGCAUACGACCUACGGGUGAAAGCAGGGGAUCUUCGGACCUUGCGCGAUUGAAUGAGCCGAUGUCGGAUUAGCUAGUUGGCGGGGUAAAGGCCCACCAAGGCGACGAUCCGUAGCUGGUCUGAGAGGAUGAUCAGCCACACUGGAACUGAGACACGGUCCAGACUCCUACGGGAGGCAGCAGUGGGGAAUAUUGGACAAUGGGCGCAAGCCUGAUCCAGCCAUACCGCGUGGGUGAAGAAGGCCUUCGGGUUGUAAAGCCCUUUUGUUGGGAAAGAAAAGCAGCAGGUUAAUACCCCGCUGUUCUGACGGUACCCAAAGAAUAAGCACCGGCUAACUUCGUG